GCUAGGAUGGCCGAGUGGUCUAAGGCGCCCGACUCAAGUUCGGGUCUCGAGAGAGGCGUGGGUUCAAAUCCCACUUCUAGCA
Molecule: transfer RNA, 82 nt
Filed under: Coemansia sp. Cherry 401B
Lineage: Eukaryota; Fungi; Kickxellomycota; Kickxellomycetes; Kickxellales; Kickxellaceae
Also listed under: 8 other names
Description: tRNA-Leu
Rfam family: tRNA
About the family: Transfer RNA (tRNA) molecules are approximately 80 nucleotides in length. Their secondary structure includes four short double-helical elements and three loops (D, anti-codon, and T loops).
Source: RNAcentral